Long non-coding RNA from Triticum dicoccoides, 406 nucleotides. RefSeq lists it as uncharacterized. The record is from RefSeq and is a predicted model, not a curated record. Lineage: Eukaryota; Viridiplantae; Streptophyta; Magnoliopsida; Poales; Poaceae. The transcript has 2 exons.
UACAUGCAAGAUUAGUUCACACCCCAUCCAAGUGUUCUCGAUGGCUCGCAAGACCACCAUCGUUGUGGCAUCCAUGUUGGCAUUGAUGCUCCUUGUGUCUUUUGGCGAGGUUCAAGGGAAGUGUCGUGAGGAACGCAUCAAGCUCGCAUGUGAUAAUUGGGUCAAAUGUUUUGAGUGGUGUCGUCUCUUUGGUGAUACGAAAGGGUACUGUGAUAAAGGUUCAUGUGUAUGUGUGAAUUGCUUUGUGCAAUCGUCUGGCCACCAUUAUGCAGAGGUUCCACCACUAAAUUCUGAUCAUCUUGAGUAGUUCAUUGUAGUUGUCAAAUUAAUGGUAAUUGGUUGUCCUAUAGAUAACUAAGUGCAUUGGUUAUGAUAUUCUUUCUUUUUAUGCAAAUUUCUGAUAUGA